RNAcentral lists this ribosomal RNA (301 nucleotides) under uncultured bacterium. RNAcentral describes it as "partial 16S ribosomal RNA". It matches the Rfam family "Bacterial small subunit ribosomal RNA", at positions 509 to 807 of the family's 1533-position model. The record is from RNAcentral.
CAGCAGCCGCGGGAAUACGAAGGGGGCUAGCGUUGUUCGGAUUUACUGGGCGUAUAGCGCACGUAGGCGGAUCGAUCAGUCAGGGGUGAAAUCCCAGAGCUCAACUCUGGAACUGCCUUUGAUACUGUCGAUCUGGAGUAUGGAAGAGGUGAGUGGAAUUCCGAGUGUAGAGGUGAAAUUCGUAGAUAUUCGGAGGAACGCCAGUGGCGAAGGCGGCUCACUGGUCCAUUACUGACGCUGAGGUGCGAAAGCGUGGGGAGCAAACAGGAUUAGAUACCCCAGUAGUCCCUGUCUCUUAUAC